Molecule: long non-coding RNA, 1747 nt
Filed under: Olea europaea subsp. europaea
Lineage: Eukaryota; Viridiplantae; Streptophyta; Magnoliopsida; Lamiales; Oleaceae
Source: RNAcentral
UGACAGCCCGCAUCACUAUCCGGCCACAGUUCCAAUCGACCCGAACUAACCUAAAAAAUUAUUGUAAGAGUAUUUAAAAAUAUUCAGUAAAAUACAUUCAGUUUUCAUACAUAAUUAUACAACAAUAAAUAAACACUUCAUAUCACUCUUCUUUUAUGGAGUAUAACGGUGACGAAGCAACACAACCAUCUUAUGUCCUCGUAAAUUUUCGAAGGAUUUCAUAUCUCUUUCUAAAGAACUCGAAGGUCAUUGGUAAUUCAUGUAUAUUUAAUUGAAUACAUAGGGCAUGUUUGGUACGUAUUGGUAUAAUCAAUUUUUUGACCGUUAGAGAGAAAAUUGGGUCCUAAUGUGAGUGAAGAAGUCUAAAAUGACUUUUUACCAUGUUAAGUGACGAUAACAAAAAUUGAUUUUUUGGCUUGAAAAAUCAAAACCAAAUGGGGGCAUAAAAGCAUAAGGACACAAAUCACUUGUACAAAAGUAUCUUACCUUGUUUAUUUAAAGGUUGGAAGGAAUAAAAUCUUGUACGUAAAAAUCUCCUAUUAUUUUUCUAUACUUUAUCUUCUCCCCCCUCUCUACCAUGGCUCUCUCUCUAUUUUGCGGGGGAAAAUAAUUGGAAUUCUUGCUAUAUUUAUAGAGAUUGUUUGGUGAGAAUUAAAAUUAGAUUUUUAAUAGAUUUUGAUAGAAAUUUUUGAAAUGUGUAGUUGAAAAGUUGUGGGACCUGUAAAAAAUGUGAUUAAUAUUGAUUGUUUGACUUUAACUCAGAUUAAAAUUUGAUUAAAAUAUGAGCCAAAUAGGGUUAUAGUUGAAAAUUUUCAAUUGAGUUUGUAUGUAAAUAGAAUUGAAAAAUUGUGUAAUACAAAGAAUUUGGAUAAGAAUUGGUUUCAAAUAAUAGAAUUUAAAUUGUAUUCAAGUAAUGUUUUCAUAUCAAUAAAAAUCACAUGUGGUAGGGAUUAGAAGAGGAAAAUAAUUUUACUUAAUUAAUAUUGCAAGUCCUCACCAACUCUAUUAACCUAUUAUUCUUUUAAUUGAACUUAACUUGAUUAGCCUAAUCCAAAACAACUUUUUCUUAGGUCAAGACUCCUAAUUAAUUACGAGUUACAAAAAGAGUCCAAUAUCAAUAUAUUUAUCUUCACUUCAUCAAAAUCUAAUUAUUUGACUCAAAAAUUAAACAAUUUGAAACAUAUUUCACUUUAGUCCAUCAAUAUCAAAAUGUAAAUAUAUAGCAUACAAAGCCCUCGUUUGACCCCCAUUACCUGAAAAUGAAAAUGGGGGGAAUAGUAUUUUUUAGAAAAAUGAGUGGUUAAAAAAGAAGGAAAAAUUUUCAAUUUACGUGUAAUAUUAUUUUAUGGAAGAUUGUGUGGUUGAAAAUAGGUGAGAGAAAAAUAGAAUGUAAUGGAAUUGAAUUUAAUGGGGAUCAAACGGGGCCAAAAUAAAUUAUUAUUAUAUAAAAUUUUCGGGGCGUUACAUUGAGUGUAAUUGGAAGUGCUAAAAAUUUGGCCUCUGCCAUAAGGAGAUGAUUUUGUUUAGUUCCCUUUUUUGGGGCAAGAAUAGUUGACAAGUAUAGUUGUAUUUAAAAGCCUUGAAAGUUGCUCUAUUGACCUUCGAACAAAGAAGGGUGUCUUUGGGCCUUUGAGGGUUAGUGGUAAUCAUUGGAAGAGAGCAUAAGAUCACGAGUUAUUACAGGAUGAAUUGUUGGCAUUUUAUAUAUAUAUAUAUAUAUAUAUAUAUAUAUAUAUNCCCAAAACGG